This is a long non-coding RNA of Spea bombifrons (plains spadefoot toad), 1360 nucleotides long. RefSeq lists it as uncharacterized. The record is from RefSeq and is a predicted model, not a curated record. The transcript is spliced from 2 exons. NCBI's taxonomy places the organism in Eukaryota, Metazoa, Chordata, Amphibia, Anura, Pelobatidae.
UGGGGAAAAAAAUCCCUAGGCUCCAGUAUAACAGAAGAGGAAGAGUGUAUAAGCCCCCAGUGUGGCAGCAGAGGCAGGAGGUGGCACAUAGAUCGAGGACAAUACAGCUGAAGAGGAAUCCUCGCCUCCUUCCCUAGCACUAGUUUCAAGAAGAUGAGGGGAAGCUCAGCUGUCUGUUGGUCACUCCUGCUGCUAGCAGCCCUGUUCUGUCACAGCGUCACAGCCAAAGGAGGCCGCGGAGGCGCCAGAGGAGGGGCCCGAGGAGCUUCACGCGCGGCUUCUCGCAUGCGGGUCAAGACACCAACCCGCUACGGCUCUUUCCGAGUGGCGGCAGGAGCGGCGGCCGCUGGAGCAGUGGCUGGAGCGGCCGCGGGCUUGGCAGGAAGAAGAAGGUGGAGAUACGAUGACAGCUCAGAAGUGAGCAUGCCUUCGGGUAACAACACCGACGAGGGACUUUACAGCUACAGGUCCUGGGCCUCAGACACGUGUCCUCUCAUUUCUUCCUUCCACCUCACUCUGACAUCCUGCGCUACUGCAAUCCUCAAGUUUUAUUUUUAACAAUAAAUAACGCCCCACGCCAAAUAUAAGAGGGGAAAAAAAACUUUUCCACCAUCUUCAUGUGUGUGUGUGUGUGGGAACGUACUUUCUGGAUGACUCUGUUCCAUAGACACCCUACAAAUGUUACCUAGAUAUCCAGCCACAAUUACCUGUACUCUGUAUGAUACAACAACGGGGGUUUAAAGAAAAUGGAUGGGUUACGAUAGGUGAAGAACAGAAGAAUCGAUGCACGUCCCACAAGCUGCUAGCUUUCUGGCCAAAAUGUUUCUGGUCCGACAUAUUGAAAUCAUGUAUUUUGUAUACUGUUAAUUGGACUUGCUCAAAAAAUACCAUCUUUUCAAUCGCUAUCACAGAAAUUUCAAUCUGAUUUCUGUAUUUUUUUGUAUGUGUUCUGCUGUUUCCACGGAAACUAUUACAUGAAAGAUGUAGCCUUGAAAUCACUUAGCCUGGUGGGUUGGCCUUUAUAUUUGACACAGAAGUUUACGCUUUGAGAUAAGCUCUGACACCAUUUUCCAUAUCGACGUUUUAUGGAAGCCAUUAGCGACUAUGGAGCUGUCUGCCCGUGUUGACGACCCAGCAGAGUUGCCAACCUCUGGCCAAUGCGUAGACAUUUUUAAUCUUAUCUCAAUGAUUCUAGAAAUCCUCUGUCAUUUCUGAUCAUGCCAACUCUCCUGGAAAGGAAUUUCAUGAACUCAUCAUCUUUCAUGCCAAAUGUGUUGUUGUCAGGGUAGACCUAGGAGAACGAGCGUGGGCUGAAACGCAACGCUCAUCACAGAUGGGAAACCAGGGUCCUCCAGAGAAA